This 283-nucleotide unclassified non-coding RNA is filed under the name uncultured fungus. RNAcentral's name for it is "partial contains small subunit ribosomal RNA, internal transcribed spacer 1, and 5.8S ribosomal RNA". The stretch from base 1 to 73 matches the Rfam family "Eukaryotic small subunit ribosomal RNA", at positions 1759 to 1831 of the family's 1831-position model. Lineage: Eukaryota; Fungi. The record is from RNAcentral.
GCAAACUUGGUCAUUUAGAGGAAGUAAAAGUCGUAACAAGGUUUCCGUAGGUGAACCUGCGGAAGGAUCAUUAUUGAAUUUUUGAUUUUAACAAUCUUAUAUUCUUGUGAACUUUAUAAACUUUGCUUGGGUAAUAGUAUUGGAGACUUUAUUGUUACCCAAAGUUUUUUACAAAAACACUUUAUUAAAAAAAACACCAAAACGAUUCUGAAAAUUUUAAAAAAAUUAAAUUAAAACUUUCAACAACGGAUCUCUUGGUUCUCGCAUCGAUGAAGAACGCAGC